GACGAACGCUGGCGGCGUGCCUAAUACAUGCAAGUAGAACGCACAGUUUAUACCGUAGCUUGCUACACCAUAGACUGUGAGUUGCGAACGGGUGAGUAACGCGUAGGUAACCUGCCUGGUAGCGGGGGAUAACUAUUGGAAACGAUAGCUAAUACCGCAUAAUAUUGAAUAUUGCAUGAUAAUUAAUUGAAAGGUGCAAUUGCACCACUACCAGAUGGACCUGCGUUGUAUUAGCUAGUAGGUGAGGUAACGGCUCACCUAGGCGACGAUACAUAGCCGACCUGAGAGGGUGAUCGGCCACACUGGGACUGAGACACGGCCCAGACUCCUACGGGAGGCAGCAGUAGGGAAUCUUCGGCAAUGGACGAAAGUCUGACCGAGCAACGCCGCGUGAGUGAAGAAGGUUUUCGGAUCGUAAAGCUCUGUUGUAAGAGAAGAACGGGUGUGAGAGUGGAAAGUUCACACUGUGACGGUAUCUUACCAGAAAGGGACGGCUAACUACGUG
This 505-nucleotide ribosomal RNA is filed under the name uncultured bacterium. Its description in RNAcentral is "partial 16S ribosomal RNA". It matches the Rfam family "Bacterial small subunit ribosomal RNA", at positions 28 to 507 of the family's 1533-position model. The record is from RNAcentral.